Non-coding RNA from Osmia lignaria (orchard mason bee), 525 nucleotides. The record is from RefSeq and is a predicted model, not a curated record. Lineage: Eukaryota; Metazoa; Arthropoda; Insecta; Hymenoptera; Megachilidae.
UUCCAACCUCAUUGUACAAUCGCGACAAGAGCACAAAUUCUCAACUCUUGUAGUUUUGAAGAAAAUGCCGAAUUAAUGUCAAAGAUCAAGAAUCUAGACUUCUCUUCGAUGACACGUGAAAGACGGACGAAGCUUCAGAGAGGACUGAUGCACUGCGCCACAAAUCGACGCACUCGCUCACACAACGACGUGUCUGAUUGGUCGAAAUGAGAGGACGCCAACAUGGGACGACCAAUCACAGCCAUCGAUAGAAGUUUCAAAGUGCUUCGAAACUUUAAUACUAAUCGUAAGGGAAAGACACGUGCAAGACGAACGAAGCUUCGAAGAGGAAUGCUGUACUGCGUCACAAAUCGACGCAUUCGCUCACACAGCGACGUGUCUGAUUGGUCGAAAUGAAAGGAUGCCCAAUGAAACAACCAAUCACAGCCAUUGGUAGAAGUUUCGAAACUGUAAUGCUAAUCGUAAUGGAAUCGUUCAUACAAUAAAUAUCAACGAAAAAAUCGAAUAAUGUACUUUUUUUAGCAA